Molecule: ribosomal RNA, 2302 nt
Filed under: Mycoplasma testudineum
Lineage: Bacteria; Bacillati; Mycoplasmatota; Mollicutes; Mycoplasmatales; Mycoplasmataceae
Description: bacterial LSU rRNA
Rfam family: Bacterial small subunit ribosomal RNA (bases 1-1490)
Source: RNAcentral
UAACGCUGGCUGUGUGCCUAAUACAUGCAUGUCGAGCGAAAGUACUUGUACUUUAGCGGCAAAUGGGUGAGUAACACGUACUCAACCUACCUCACAGACUGGAAUAACCAAGGGAAACUUUGGCUAAUGCCGGAUACACCUUAACUUCGCAUGAAGAUAAGGUUAAAGGAACUAUUGUUUCACUGGGAGAUGGGGGUGCGUUACAUUAGUUAGUUGGCGGUGUAAUAGACCACCAAGACGAUGAUGUAUAGCCGGGUUGAGAGACCGAACGGCCACACUGGGACUGAGAUACGGCCCAGACUUCUACGGGAGGCAGCAGUAGGGAAUAUUCCACAAUGGGCGAAAGCCUGAUGGAGCGACACAGCGUGCAGGAUGAAGGUCUUCGGAUCGUAAACUGCUGUUAUACAGAAAGAAAAGAUAAGGGAGUGGAAAGCCCUUAUUAUGACGGUACUGUAUCAGAAAGUGACGGCAAACUAUGUGCCAGCAGCCGCGGUAAUACAUAGGUCACAAGCGUUAUCCGAAAUUAUUGGGCGUAAAGCGUCCGUAGGUUGUCUGUUAAGUCUGAAGUCAAAAACCGAAGCCCAACUUCGGCUCGCUUCAGAUACUGGCAAACUAGAGUUAUAGAGAGGUUAGUGGAAUUUCAUGUGAAGCGGUGGAAUGCGUAGAUAUAUGAAAGAACACCAAUGGCGAAGGCAGCUAACUGGCUAUAUACUGACACUGAGGGACGAAAGCGUGGGGAGCAAACAGGAUUAGAUACCCUGGUAGUCCACGCCGUAAACGAUGAUCAUUAGUUGGUGGAGCAAUUCACCGACGCAGCUAACGCAUUAAAUGAUCCGCCUGAGUAGUAUGCUCGCAAGAGUGAAACUUAAAGGAAUUGACGGGGACCCGCACAAGCGGUGGAGCAUGUGGUUUAAUUUGACGAUACGCGUAGAACCUUACCCACUCUUGACAUCUUCGGCAAAGCUAUAGAGAUAUAGUGGAGGUUAACCGAAUGACAGAUGGUGCAUGGUUGUCGUCAGCUCGUGUCGUGAGAUGUUUGGUUAAGUCCUGCAACGAGCGCAACCCCUAUCCUUAGUUACUAACAUUAAGUUGAGCACUUUAAGGAUACUGCCUAGGUAACUGGGAGGAAGGUGGGGAUGACGUCAAAUCAUCAUGCCUCUUACGAGUGGGGCAACACACGUGCUACAAUGGCCGGUACAAAGAGACGCAAUAUGGUGACAUGGAGCAAAUCUGAAAAACCGGUCUCAGUUCGGAUUGAAGGCUGCAAUUCGCCUUCAUGAAGUCGGAAUCGCUAGUAAUCGUAGAUCAGCUACGCUACGGUGAAUACGUUCUCGGGUCUUGUACACACCGCCCGUCACACCAUGGGAGCCGGUAAUACCCAAAGUCGGUUUAGCUAACUACGGAAGCGACUGCCUAAGGUAGGAUUGGUGACUGGGGUGAAGUCGUAACAAGGUAUCCCUACGAGAACGUGGGGAUGGAUCACCUCCUUUCUACGGAGUACAUAAGCUGCAAAGAGCAGCUAUAAUAUGACAUUUGGCACAAAUCUUCCCAAUUAAUUUUGGUUGAAGUCUGUGUGUUGGCGUUGCCAAAGCGCAUCUAAUAUUCAGUUUUGAGGGUUCUACCUCAAAAUUAGUUCUUUGAAAACUGAAUAGCAUAAAUUAAUAUGAUAACGACAUCAAAAUAUGUAAAUAAUUUUGAUCCGAGUUGAGUUCAAUAAUUUGAACUCUAUAAAUACCUUAAGAUACACAUCAAAUUUCAAUAGGAAAUUAGAAAAAAAAUAAUAAUACGAUUACUUAUAUUUACUUUUAAAUAUUUAAGAGUUUGUAGUGGAUGCCUUGGGUCUGGAAGUCGAAGAAGGACGUGAUUACCUGCGAUAAGCUUUGUCUAGUUGGAAAUAAACUAUGAGACAGAGAUCUCCGAAUGGGGAAACCCAGUGCGAUUAAUCUUGCAUUACUACCUUGUGAAUAUAUAGCAAGGAAAGAGACAUACGUUGUGAAUUGAAACAUCUUAGUAGCAACAGGAAAAGAAAAUAAAUAAUGAUUCCGUCAGUAGCGGCGAGCGAACGCGGAAGAGCCCAAACCAAUUUAUUGGGGUUGUAGGACUGCUUACACGGAGUUACAAAAUUAAUGUAUAGAAGAACAAGUUGGGAAGCUUGGACAUAGAGGGUGAUAUCCCCGUAUUCGAAAUGCAUUAAUCUCUUAGCAGUAUCCUGAGUAGGGCGGGGCACGUGAAACCCUGUCUGAAUCCGCCGGGACCACCCGGUAAGGCUAAAUACUAACCAGACACCGAUAGUGAACUAGUA